RNAcentral lists this ribosomal RNA (400 nucleotides) under bacterium enrichment culture clone ALO1_GLFRUDD03HIZ9N. Its description in RNAcentral is "bacterial SSU rRNA". It matches the Rfam family "Bacterial small subunit ribosomal RNA", at positions 9 to 409 of the family's 1533-position model. The record is from RNAcentral.
GAGUUUGAUCCUGGCUCAGAUUGAACGCUGGCGGCAUGCCUUACACAUGCAAGUCGAACGGCAGCACGGGAGCUUGCUCCUGGUGGCGAGUGGCGAACGGGUGAGUAAUGCAUCGGAACGUAUCCUGGAGUGGGGGAUAACGUAGCGAAAGUUACGCUAAUACCGCAUAUUCUGUGAGCAGGAAAGCGGGGGACCUUCGGGCCUCGCGCUCUUGGAGCGGCCGAUGUCGGAUUAGCUAGUUGGUGAGGUAAAGGCUCACCAAGGCGACGAUCCGUAGCAGGUCUGAGAGGAUGAUCUGCCACACUGGAACUGAGACACGGUCCAGACUCCUACGGGAGCAGCAGUGGGGAAUUUUGGACAAUGGGGGCAACCCUGAUCCAGCCAGUGCCGCGUGAGUGAA